AUUGAACGCUGGCGGCAUGCUUUACACAUGCAAGUCGAACGGUAACAGGUUAAGCUGACGAGUGGCGAACGGGUGAGUAAUGCAUCGGAACGUGCCCGGUCGUGGGGGAUAACGCAGCGAAAGCUGCGCUAAUACCGCAUACGAUCUGAGGAUGAAAGCGGGGGACCGUAAGGCCUCGCGCGAUCGGAGCGGCCGAUGUCAGAUUAGGUAGUUGGUGGGGUAAAGGCUCACCAAGCCAACGAUCUGUAGCUGGUCUGAGAGGACGACCAGCCACACUGGGACUGAGACACGGCCCAGACUCCUACGGGAGGCAGCAGUGGGGAAUUUUGGACAAUGGGCAAAAGCCUGAUCCAGCGAUGCCGCGUGCAGGAAGAAGGCCUUCGGGUUGUAAACUGCUUUUGUACGGAGCGAAAAGGUCUCCUCUAAUACAGGGGGCUCAUGACGGUACCGUAAGAAUAAGCACCGGCUAACUACGUGCCAGCCGCCGCGGUAA
Molecule: ribosomal RNA, 493 nt
Filed under: uncultured bacterium
Lineage: Bacteria
Description: partial 16S ribosomal RNA
Rfam family: Bacterial small subunit ribosomal RNA
Source: RNAcentral